AGGGCAUACGGUGGAUGUCUUGGCGUCCAGAGGCGAUGAAGGACGUUGGAACCUGCGAUAUGCCUCGGGGAGCCGGUAACCAGGCUUUGAUCCGAGGAUCUCCGAAUGGGGAAACCCGGCCCGUAAGGGUCACCUGCACCUGAAUGCAUAGGGUGUAGGAGCGAACCCGGUGAACUGAAACAUCUCAGUAACCGGAGGAAAGGAAAGCAAAAUGCGACUCCGUAAGUAGCGGCGAGCGAAAGCGGAUAAACCAGUAGCUGCGUGAACGACUUGGAAAGGUCGACCACAGAAGGUGAUAGUCCUGUACUGCAGUAGCUGGCCAGCCCUAGAGUAGCGCGGUGCUCGUGAAACUCCGCGUGAACAUGGGGGGUCCACCCUCCAAGGCUAAGUACUCCUGGACGACCGAUAGUGAACCAGUAAGGUGACUGAAUGAUGAAAAGCACCCCGAUAAGGGGAGUGAAAAGUACCUGAAACCGUAUGCUUACAAGCUGUGGGAGCCCACUUCGGUGGGUGACCGCGUGCCUUUUGCAUAAUGAGCCUGCGAGUUACUCUCUGUGGCAAGGUUAAGUCGAAACACGACGUAGCCGAAGGGAAACCGAGUCCGAAAUGGGCGUCGAGUCGCAGGGGGUAGACGCGAAACCGGGUGAUCUACCCAUGGGCAGGUUGAAGGAGGGGUAAAACCCUCUGGAGGACCGAACACACCUACGUUGAAAAGUGGGGUGAUGACCUGUGGGGAGGAGUUAAAGUCUAAUCAAACCCGGAGAUAUCUCGUUCUCUCCGAAAUAGCUUUAGGGCUAGCCUUGCGUUACAGCGUGUGGGGGUAGAGCUACUGGAUGGGGCUGAGGGGCUUAUCGCCUACUCACUCCAACCAAACUCCGAAUACCACACGCCUCUGUCGCGGGAGUCAGACUGUGGGAGAUAAUUUCCACGGUCGAAAGGGAAACAGCCCAGACCGCCAGUUAAGGUCCCUGAUCAAACCUCAGUUUCUAAGGAAGUCGAAUUGCUGAGACAGCCAGGAUGUUGGCUUAGAAGCAGCCACCAUUUAAAGAGUGCGUAACAGCUCACUGGUCGAGGAAUUCGGCGCCGAUAAUGAUCGGGAAUAAGGUUUGAACCGAAACUGCGGAAUCGUAAGAUUGGUAGGAGAGCGUUCCUGUCGGCGUUGAAGGCAUCCCGGAAGGGUUGCUGGAGCGGCAGGAAGUGAAUAUGCAGGCUUGAGUAACGAUAAAUGGAGUGAGAAUCUCCAUCGCCGAAAACCUAAGGUUUCCUGGGGAAGGUAAAUCCGCCCAGGGUUAGGCGGGACCUAAGGCGAGGCCGAAAGGCGUAGUCGAUGGACAGCAGGUUAAUAUUCCUGCCCCAUCAUGGAAGGUUGAUCCAGCGUGACGGAUCUUGAAGUUCAACGGGACAGUGAAGCGUCCAGGCCCUAGAGGCCGGUGUUGGGUGGAUAGGUUCCAAGAAAAGCCGUCUGGUGACGACCAUGAUGCCCGUACUAAAACUGACACAGGUAGGUGUGGCGAAAAGCCUCAGGCGCUCGAGAAAAUGGUUGUGAAGGAACUAGGCAAAUUGACCCCGUAAGUUCGCAAUAAGGGGGCCCUACUGGCAACAGAGGGCGCAGAGAAAAGGCUCUGGCGACUGUUUAUCAAAAACACAGCACUGUGCGAACACGCAAGUGGACGUAUACAGUGUGACGCCUGCUCGGUGCCGGAAUGUUAAGGAAGUGGGUUAGCUUCGGCGAAGCUCACGACUGAAGCACCGGUAAACAGCGGCCGUAACUAUGACGGUCCUAAGGUAGCGAAGUUCCUUGUCGGGUAAGUUCCGACGUGCAUGAAUGGAGUAACGACUGGAGCACUGUCUCCACAACCGACUCGGUGAAAUAGUAGUGGCGGUGAAGAUGCCGCCUACCCGCAGCAAGACGGAAAGACCCCGUGGACCUUUACUGCAGGCAUAUAUUGGUCAUGGAUGGAUACUGCGCAGGAUAGGUGGGUGGCUUUGAAGUGGAGGUUUCGGCCUUCGUGGAGCCAACCUUGAAAUACCACCCUUGCAUCCUUGAAAGUCUAACUGUGAUCCGUCAUCCGGAUUCAGGACAGUGUCUGGUGGGUAGUUUGACUGGGGCGGUCUCCUCCUAAAAUGUAACGGAGGAGCCCAAAGGUCACCUCAGCACGGUCGG
This 2164-nucleotide ribosomal RNA is filed under the name marine metagenome. RNAcentral describes it as "bacterial LSU rRNA". It matches the Rfam family "Bacterial large subunit ribosomal RNA", at positions 14 to 2334 of the family's 2925-position model. The record is from RNAcentral.